GCGGUGGUAGUUUAGUGGUAGAAUGGUACCCUGCCACGGUGCUGACCGGGGUUCGAGUCCCCGCCACCGCA
RNAcentral lists this transfer RNA (71 nucleotides) under Candidatus Woesearchaeota archaeon. RNAcentral describes it as "tRNA-Gly". It matches the Rfam family "tRNA". Rfam says of the family: Transfer RNA (tRNA) molecules are approximately 80 nucleotides in length. The record is from RNAcentral. Lineage: Archaea; Nanobdellati; Candidatus Woesearchaeota.